This 5518-nucleotide long non-coding RNA is filed under the name Sus scrofa (pig). Its description in RNAcentral is "lncRNA (ENSSSCG00030067282.1)". The record is from RNAcentral. Lineage: Eukaryota; Metazoa; Chordata; Mammalia; Artiodactyla; Suidae.
UCGUUCAUUCUUCUGCUCUCUUUUCCCAGAGCAAGGGACUGCGUCACCGUUAUUCUCAGGAGUGUGCAUGCUACUUCUCCAGAUGCUGCAGACUGUCAUAUACUUCCUGAUAUAAAGAGGCUCACAUUUAUUGUGCUUACCUUUUCUUGAGGCAGAUUUUUGUAUUCUCUUCUUCUUGUCACAUUCCUCCUCUUUUCACUCUCUUGUCUCAGAUUUCAACUCUCUCCCAUCUUACUGGAAUCGUGUGCUGGCUGGUUUUCUCAGUUCUCUCUAAGAACUUUGCAUCCGAUAUAUGUCUCAUUCCCCAAGUUCCUUCACACUCUGCCCAGGCCAGACUGCACUUAGUUCCUGUGUACCUGGUUCUUGCCUCCGACAAGAACAUAAACAACACAUUCUCUAAUUUACCCUGAGCUCCCUUCGUAGGAGCUACAGAGUUCUAAGAAGUUCUUGGAUUGGGAUCUGAAAUGGAAUCCUCCUUCUCUAUGACUCCUCUCCAUAGCUGAUUUGAUGGAUGCAAUGUUUAAUCAUACAUCUUCCUGCCAAAGAAGCUGAUAACUGCUCUGGAAAUUACCCACUGUACUUCGUUUAUCUACUCAGCCAUAUUUCAAGCUCAGGAUUGAGUGUCUAGGGUCCCUUUAGAAAUGGAAAACACUCUGCUUUCCCAUCAUGUAAACAGAAUGAGAAAAGUUUGGAUUCUGGAGUUCCCAUUGUGGCUCAGCUGUUAAUGAACCCGACCGUCCAUGAGGACACAGGUUAGAUCCCUGGCUUUGCUCAGUGGGUUGAGGAUCCGGCGCUGCCAUGAGCUGUGGUGUAGGUCGCAGGUGCGGCUUGGAUCCUGUAUUGCUGUGGCUGUAGUGUAGGCUGGCAGCUGUAGUGACCCCUAGCCUGAGAACCUCCAUAUGUUGCAGGUACGGCCCUAAAAAGCAGAAAUAAAUAAAUAAAUAAUAAAUAAAUGAAUAAAUAAAUAAAAAAGGUUGGAUUCUAUCCUUCAUCAGGCUUUGCCAAGUGACCCCAGUUAUAACAUCUCAGGGGGGACCUGUACCUUUCCUUCAAAACCCUCCUCACAGUUACCAUCGAUUAUUUGAGUGAUUAAUUGCUGAACAUCUGAAUUCUUACAUGGACACUUACCAUCACCCUCCAGUUUGCUCUUAUUACCCAAAAUAUGAACCACAGGCAAUAGUUUCACAAUCAUCACUGAGUAUUCAGCAGUUUAUGGAGAGCUAACAUUUUUACUUGUAGCAAAGUAAACAGGAAUGAGGAUGCAGUUGUAGGCAUGCGUUCUGAAUGCAGAUGGGGUGAAAGGCCAUAGGCACUGCAGAAAGCAAAUGAAGGAGCUUCUGCUUGGGCUGCAGAGUCAUGGCUAAAGAUUACAAACAUCCUCGCUCAUGCCAGAGACUCCUGGGCAACAGGGCCACAGGAGACAACUCGGUGGAAAAGGCUGCUUGGCUUCAACUCUAAUAACCUGAACAGAUGCAGGGCAAUUAGUCCCAGGCUGUGGCCUCCAGGGCACGUUUUUUGUCACCUUGCAACAGACGUGCUUUCCUCUAAUGGUCCAGGGCAACCUCACAACCGUUCCGCCAUCCUCGCUUCCCCAUCCCCCAGGAAGAAUCAAGUUUCUUUCCUCCUGCUGCAAACUAUAAUGCAUUAAACAACUCUUCCUCUGACCAUUUAGCAAUGUUCUGUUCUUACACUAUGGAAGCUGCAAGUCGAACAAGUAAUCCUGAAUUCGAAUCCUAACUUUUCCCUUGGGAAAGUCACAUUUCUGGGCCUGUUUCUUCAGCUCUUAAAUAAGGAGACUAUAUGCUUCAAGAUUUAGUUUGGUUUUACUUUUACGUACGGUAGCCCAUCUAGGACAAAGCUUUUCAAGCUGAGGGUCAGAACUUACUAGUGGGUCUGGAAUAUAUCAGAGUACAUUGAACAGAAUAAGAAUACUGUUUAUGAAACUUGUGUCUCUGCGUGCAUCUAUAAGUUGGAUGUCAAACACAUUUUUUAUUGUGGACAGAAGUAAAAAAAAAAAAAUUUAAACUUUGCCCUACAAGUAACAGAGGGACAGAAAUUAGAUUACUGGUUGUCUAGGGCUGAGGGUAGGAAUGGGGAGGGGCUAUAAAGGGACUGAAGGUUUCUUUUUAGGGUGAUGAAGGUUCUAAAAUUAUUUGUGGUGGUAGCUGUACAACUCUGUAUUCUAAAAUUAAUUAAAUUGUAAGCUGAAAAUGGAAUUUUAUAGUACUUAAAUUAUAUCUCAACAAACUUAUUUAAAAAUAAAACAAAACAUUGCUCUGUGAGCCAUGGAUUUGCUUCCAGACAUCUAUGGACCUUCCAGCAUUACAGCAUGAAUUUUAUCUUUCUAAGGAGAGGAAAUGUAGCUUUUAUCAGAUGAUCAAAUGAAUUCAAGAUUCAUAGCACUUUUAGAAUCAGUUAAUCAAACUAUCCCUCAAGCACUAAAAUCCUAUGAUUCUAAAAUCUUAAAAUCUAUUUUAACUUUAGUUCAUCAGAAUUUCAUUGACAAAGUUUUGCCUCCAAAGCAUUUCCAAGAGCCUUUUUAUUUAUCCAAUCAUCCAAGUGAAUUAGAUAACACUAUUAAAAUAGUUUUUAAAAUAAAUUAUUGUGUAAAUGUGAAGUAUUAUUAAUAACCUAUUAGGAAUUAUUAUUUUAUUGUAUUUGAUAUAUUUUAUUAUAUCUAUCUGCAUUUGGUAUAUAGUGACAAUGUUUUCAAUCAUAGCUGUACCUUCAAUUCAUAUGCUUACUGAAUAUUGCAAUGGUAUUUUUAUUUCCAUUUUUUUUCUCUUAUUGAUCUAUAAUGACAAGGCUGGUGAAGCUCACAGAUCCUCCAUAAUCUGUUCACUGGUGUGCAAAUGCUUUGGUACUAAAGGAAACCAGAACGUGUCACCCUGGAACAUGUCACUUUGGCAUACUGAUUUUUCUUUUGGCCACACCUGUGGCAUGCAGGAGUUCCUGGGCCAGGGACUGAACCCGUGCCACAGCAGUGACCUGAGCCAUAGCAAUGACAACAUCAGAUCUUUAAACCACUGAGCCAUCACAGAACUUCUGGCAUACUGAUUUUUUUUUAAAUUAAAGGUACUUAGGAAAUAGCAGGUACAAGAAAGACACUCUCCUUUCCCUUUCUGAAACUUCCAUGUUCAAAGGUGCCCUCUCUGUACCAGGAGGAAAGGAGACAUUUUAUCAGCCCAGAAACGGCACCAGAGGAAUCAGCAAACAAAUCUCACUCCACUCGUUUCCUCCUGAUAUUUACCUUUCCACAGUCUGCACCCUUGGAAGCCUAAACCUGCUUUCCUUUGGCCUGUGUACAGGACUCUACACAUUUCUUGUUCUUGGUUGAAGAUGCUCUAGAAGCUGGAAUUCUGAGCCACCCUUUUGAAUGACUUUUGGUUUAGGUUUCUCCCCACAAUGUGGGCUGGACACAUAAAUAAAGUGCUUUUUCUCUUGUUCAUCCAUCUUUUCGUUAGGGUCCCAGCGGAAAACCUACAAUGGGUAGAGGUAAUGGUUUGCCUCUCUGAUAGAACCAAAACUAAAGAGGAGUCAAGAGAUAGAAAGGCACCCAAAAUAGGGCUGUUUCUAUACCUCUAAGAGAAAGACACACUAGGGAUUUUUAAGUGGAAGUGGCAGUGUGGAGACAGGAAAAAGCAUUUCUGAGUCAUGUUGCUUAGACUGUUGUGUACAGGUCAGGAACUGUCAGCCAACUGCACUUCCUAGGUUAUGAGUUCCUUGAUGGCAAAAAAAAUUCUAAUUUAUCUAAUGAUGCUUAAAACUGGGCUUUAUACACAGGAAGUAUUGUUUGUUAAAUUGCAAUGUUUGUCAGAAUGCCCAAUGGUUGAUAAUAAACUAAGACCUAGAUGUAACCUAAGUGCCCAUCAAGAGGGGACUGGUUGCAGCAGAAACGGGCACAACAUUGUAAAUCAACUAUACAUUUUAAUUUUAAAAAAGAGGGGAUUGGCUAAAGUGAUACUUUCAAACUCAUAAUAAUGAAGUUUGUUCACAUGUGCUAUUAUAAAAUGAUCUCCAGAGUAUACUAUUAAGUGAAAAAAAUAACAUGUAGAAUAUCCCAAAUGAUAUACAAAGUAAACAUGGAGAUCUUACAUAUACUAUUUGGAAGGCUACAGGAGUCUAUUGAUGGGGAAUGCUUCUAGGGUACAGGCCCAAGUGUUACAGGUGGAUAGAGAAUUGUUUUUUACUGUAUAAUUUUUAUCCUUUUUGGAUCUUUUAAUUUAUGAAAUCAUUCAUUCUUUCAUUUAAAAUCUUUUAAGAGGAGCAUUAUGGGAAACAAUUCGGUAUCACCAUGUGUUCAGUUCUUUCACACACCUUACCACAUUUAAUGUAAACAACACCUCAUCUUAUGGAUGAGGAAACCGAGGUUCAGAGGCUGCAAAUAACUUGCACAAUGUCACACAGCUUAACAGGAAAUAGCCUAUCCAGCACUGGACUCAAAUCCUUAAGCUCCACAGUCAAUGAUGCUUUUCUCACAAUUCUUCAAGACUAAGUGCAUAUGGAUACAAAUCCAUGGUACAUCUUAACAUCGUUCUGUCUGUUUAAUUCACUGCUCAAGAAUGUUGCUUCUACUACAGAGGUCAGGCUGAGCUUAAAAUCACUGCACAGGAGUUCCCGUCGUGGCGCAGUGGUUAACGAAUCCGACUAGGAACCAUGAGGUUGCGGGUUCGGUCCCUGCCCUUGCUCAGUGGGUUAACGAUCCGGCGUUGCCGUGAGCUGUGGUGUAGGUUGCAGAUGCGGCUCGGAUCCUGCGUUGCUGUGGCUCUGGGGUAGGCUGGGGGCUACAGUUCCGAUUAGACCCCUAGCCUGGGAACCUCCAUAUGCCGCGGGAGCGGCCCAAGAAAUAGCAACAACAACAACAACAAAAGACAAAAAGACAAAAAAAGACAAAAAAAAAAAAAAAAAAAAAAAAAAAAAAAAUCACUGCACAGUAUUUUCCAUAAACCUCUUCCUCUUUCUAGCACUUCUAAGUCUUUCCUGGGGGACUCAAGUUCUUCCUUUAGUCAGCUCUUAUCCCUUGCUUUAACAACGUGGGUCACAUCUUUAUAUCCACCCCCAUUUCCAGUUUCUACAUUAUUUCUAUUGCCCCAGCUCUAACAAGGUCCUGAACCCCUGAUCUGCCAUCUCAGCUCACCCAUGCUACAUUCACUCUUCCUCGCCAGUAUUUGUCUUUUUACCCUGAACUCUAACUUCAAAAUAGUUCCACUUCUUUUUUCUAAAUACUACAUUAUCUGUCCCUUAUUCGAUAUAACUUCCCAUACUCCAACUUUUGUUUUGUUUUGGGGCCUCGUCUGUGACACAUGGAAGUUCCCGGGCCAGGGAUCAAACGCCUGACAUAGCAGUGACCCAAGGCCACAGCAGUGACAACGCCAGAUUUUUAACCCCUCAGACACCAGGAAACUCCUCCGAAAGUGUAUUUUUUCCAAUCACAUUUUUAAAUCCCUGAAAUAAUUGACCUCUGAGUCAAAGAAUUCUUUAUCUUCCACUGAUCUCGGCUAUUUUUAUUUUUUAUGCC